AACGUAGGGGGCCAGCGUUGCUCGGAAUUACUGGGCGUAAAGGGUCCGUAGGCGGUGUGGCAAGUCGGAAGUGAAAUCUCUGGGCUUAACCCAGAGGCUGCUCCCGAAACUGCCGUGCUAGAGUGCGAGAGAGGCGAGUGGAAUUGCGGGUGUAGCGGUGAAAUGCGUAGAUAUCCGCAGGAACAUCCGAGGCGAAAGCGGCUCGCUGGAUCGCAACUGACGCUGAGGGACGAAAGCUAGGGGAGCAAACAGG
Molecule: ribosomal RNA, 253 nt
Filed under: uncultured bacterium
Lineage: Bacteria
Description: partial 16S ribosomal RNA
Rfam family: Bacterial small subunit ribosomal RNA
Source: RNAcentral